GACGAACGCUGGCGGCGUGCCUAAUACAUGCAAGUAGAACGCUGAAGGAGGAGCUUGCUUCUCUGGAUGAGUUGCGAACGGGUGAGUAACGCGUAGGUAACCUGCCUGGUAGCGGGGGAUAACUAUUGGAAACGAUAGCUAAUACCGCAUAAUAGUAGAUGUUGCAUGACAUUUGCUUAAAAGGUGCAAUUGCAUCACUACCAGAUGGACCUGCGUUGUAUUAGCUGGUUGGUGGGGUAACGGCUCACCAAGGCGACGAUACAUAGCCGACCUGAGAGGGGGGUCGGCCACACUGGGACUGAGACACGGCCCAGACUCCUACGGGAGGCAGCAGUAGGGAAUCUUCGGCAAUAGACGGAAGUCUGACCGAGCAACGCCGCGUGAGUGAAGAAGGUUUUCGGAUCGUAAAGCUCUGUUGUAAGAGAAGAACGAGUGUGAGAGUGGAAAGUUCACACUGUGACGGUAUCUUACCAGAAAGGGGCGGCUAACUACGUG
RNAcentral lists this ribosomal RNA (495 nucleotides) under uncultured bacterium. Its description in RNAcentral is "partial 16S ribosomal RNA". It matches the Rfam family "Bacterial small subunit ribosomal RNA", at positions 28 to 507 of the family's 1533-position model. The record is from RNAcentral.